RNAcentral lists this long non-coding RNA (700 nucleotides) under Marmota monax (woodchuck). Lineage: Eukaryota; Metazoa; Chordata; Mammalia; Rodentia; Sciuridae. The record is from RNAcentral.
AAUCCCAGUGGCUCAAGAAGUUGAGGCAGGAGGAUCGUGAGUUCAAAGCCAGCCUUAGCAAUUUAGUGAGGUGCUAAACAAGUCAGUGAGACCCUGUCUCUAAAUAGAAUAUAAAAUAGGACUGGGGAUGUGGCUCAGUGUCAAGUGUCCCUGAGUUCAAUCCUCAGUACCCCAAAAUAAAAAAUAAAUACAAAAUAAAAAGGGCUUUGGAUGUGCCUCAGUGGUUAAGUGCCCCUGGGUUCAACACCUAAUACCAAUAAUAAUAAUAAUAAUAAUAAGAAGAAGAAGAAGAAGAAGAAGAAGAAGAAUUUUAUUGAAUAUACAUCAUAUCUCAAUGAAGUUGCUGGGGACUAUCUCUCCCUCUGGGGAUGGCUUGCAUUUUCCCUUGAGUGUGAAUUCCUUGCUUUACCCCAAAGACAUCUCUCUUUAGAGACUGCCCCCCAUCCCUUUCUCUCUUGAGUAUGUAUCUACUUUCCUAAACAAACCUCUGUCUGUGCCUUUAAGAAGUAAUGAAAAUGUGCUGUCAGGAAUCAAACCCAAAGGACUCCUACAAAUAAGUUUCGCUAAGCUAUACCCCCAGCCUGAAGUUUGAUUUUUAUUUUAUUUUUUUUUACAAUGGGACAGGGGAGGAGCUGGUUGGGGUAGGAAUGAAAAAACAUUGGCCAUGAAUUGGUAAGAAUUGAAGCUGGGUGUUGGGUAU